UGGGGAAUCUUGGACAAUGGGGGAAACCCUGAUCCAGCCAUUCCGCGUGAGUGAAGAAGGCCUUCGGGUUGUAAAGCUCUUUUGUCCGGAACGAAACGGUGCACGUGAAUAUCGUGCGUUACUGACGGUACCCCAAGAAGAAGCUCCGGCUAACUUCGUGCCAGCAGCCGCGGUAAUACGAAGGGGGCUAGCGUUGUUCGGAUUUACUGGGCGUAAAGCGCGUGUAGGCGGACUGGAAAGUUGGGGGUGAAAUCCCGAGGCUCAACCUCGGAACUGCCUCCAAAACUUCCAGUCUGGACUCAAGUAGAGGCAAGUGGAAUUGCGAGUGUAGAGGUGAAAUUCGUAGAUAUUCGCAGGAACACCAGUGGCGAAGGCGACUUGCUGGACUUGUAGUGACGCUGAGACGCGAAAGCGUGGGGAGCAAA
This 425-nucleotide ribosomal RNA is filed under the name uncultured bacterium. Its description in RNAcentral is "bacterial SSU rRNA". It matches the Rfam family "Bacterial small subunit ribosomal RNA", at positions 355 to 772 of the family's 1533-position model. The record is from RNAcentral.